AUACAGAGGUCUCAAGCGUUGUUCGGAUUCAUUGGGCGUAAAGGGUGCGUAGGCGGCGAGGUAAGUCGGAUGUGAAAUCCCGGGGCUCAACCCUGGAACUGCAUUCGAUACUGCUUUGCUUGAGUACUGGAGAGGAGACUGGAAUUUACGGUGUAGCAGUGAAAUGCGUAGAUAUCGUAAGGAAGACCAGUGGCGAAGGCGAGUCUCUGGACAGUUACUGACGCUGAGGCACGAAGGCCAGGGGAGCAAACGGGA
This 255-nucleotide ribosomal RNA is filed under the name uncultured prokaryote. Its description in RNAcentral is "partial 16S ribosomal RNA". It matches the Rfam family "Bacterial small subunit ribosomal RNA", at positions 523 to 777 of the family's 1533-position model. The record is from RNAcentral.